This 253-nucleotide unclassified non-coding RNA is filed under the name uncultured Phycisphaeraceae bacterium. RNAcentral's name for it is "contains 16S-23S intergenic spacer region". It matches the Rfam family "Bacterial small subunit ribosomal RNA", at positions 524 to 776 of the family's 1533-position model. Lineage: Bacteria; Pseudomonadati; Planctomycetota; Phycisphaerae; Phycisphaerales; Phycisphaeraceae. The record is from RNAcentral.
UACGAAGGGCCCGAGCGUUAUUCGGAAUCACUGGGCUUAAAGGGUGCGUAGGCGGAAGGGUCAGUGUCUUGUGAAAUCCCGGUGCUCAACGCCGGAAUAGCAGGGCAUACUACCUUUCUUGAGGGUGGCAGAGGUUGCUGGAACUCUAGGUGUAGCGGUGAAAUGCGUAGAUAUCUAGGGGAACGCCAAAGGUGAAGACAGGCAACUGGGCCAUUCCUGACGCUGAGGCACGAAAGCGUGGGGAGCAAACAGG